UACGGGGGGAGCAAGCGUUGUUCGGAUUUACUGGGCGUAAAGGGCGCGUAGGCGGUCGUGACAAGUCACUUGUGAAAUCUCCGGGCUUAACUCGGAAAGGUCAACUGAUACUGCGGGGCUAGAGUGCGGAAGGGGCAACUGGAAUUCUCGGUGUAGCGGUGAAAUGCGUAGAUAUCGAGAGGAACACCUGCGGCGAAGGCGGGUUGCUGGGCCGACACUGACGCUGGAUGCGCGAAAGCCAGGGGAGCGAACGGG
RNAcentral lists this ribosomal RNA (255 nucleotides) under uncultured bacterium. RNAcentral describes it as "partial 16S ribosomal RNA". It matches the Rfam family "Bacterial small subunit ribosomal RNA", at positions 524 to 776 of the family's 1533-position model. The record is from RNAcentral.